This is a long non-coding RNA of Lathyrus oleraceus (garden pea), 459 nucleotides long. RefSeq lists it as uncharacterized. Lineage: Eukaryota; Viridiplantae; Streptophyta; Magnoliopsida; Fabales; Fabaceae. The transcript is spliced from 3 exons. The record is from RefSeq and is a predicted model, not a curated record.
UUAGAUUUUCUUUCUAAUAAUUUCAUUCUAAUCUAUGUAUAUCUUUUACGUAGAAAAUUUUCAUGCAUCUAAAUUUUUGUUUUAUUUUACAGUGGUCACUGGGUGUUGGUUGCUAUGGAUCUUUCGAGACUAAUGGUGUAUUAUCUCGAUUCGUUAUCGGGUGAUUGGAGUAAAUAUCCGAGUAUGAAGAAGACGGUUGACGCGGCAAUACUAAAAUUUAGAUCGAAAAAGAAUUAUCGUAAUAGGAAGGACAUUACCUGGGUCAGAGUUCAGUGUCCUCAGCAAAACAAUUCGGUCGAUUGCGGAUUUUUUGUAUUGAGAUUUAUGAGAGAUAUCAUUGCGUUGAAUCGUAUAGACAUCCAAAAAAUGGUAUGGAAUAAUAACUUAGGGUUUAUUUUAAUAUUAUCGAAUAUUUCAUCUAAUUUGUUACUAAAUCAUGAAUAUGUUUUAUUCUCUUAA